UAGAAGACUAACUGCAACAAAAGUGCUUGUGAGCCAACGAAACAUAAAGUAGAACCUCGAUAGUUCGACACUCCCUGUAGUUCGACACAGGCCGUGAUGACAAGACAUGGCAUCAGUGGCCGAUGACGGGUUCACCAAGGAAAAGAGGAGUUAUUGGUGCACAGAAUAGGAACAUCAGGCUGAGGUUAUGCGACAGUAAAUAAUGUAUAAGUAAAAUGUCACUUAAUUUAACUCAUGUUCUAAUUUUCAAGUUUGUUUUAUACUUUAUAUUUUCAUAAAAUAAAUUUACUAUAACCAAUGUCACUUGCUACAUUUUAUUUAUACCCCCACAAAUAGUGAUAUUUUGGCUAUGUUUGAAGAACUGUUUUGAACUUUUAAACUUUUUGUUGAUCACUGAGAUGUCUUUUCUAAAGCAGGGUCUGGUGUAAUUUGAUGAGGCCUUAUUAAAAAUUAAAUGCUCUCACCCUUCACUCACAAGCUUGGCAGAAUAGGCUUAUUAUUUUUAACCUAACUCAGUUAUCCUAUACAACAUUUAAAUAAAGUGUUAUAGCAUCAUUUAUAGGUUUCUAGCUGCCCCUCCCCUUGGGCUUCACAACAGAAUUGAAAAAUUUUCUUUGCUACAAACAGUUGUUUUGCAUUGGUUUUGCUUAGAAUUUUCCUAACAGCGGUUUGGUAGCUAAUACAAUUAAACAAAA
This is a long non-coding RNA of Macrosteles quadrilineatus (aster leafhopper), 695 nucleotides long. RefSeq lists it as uncharacterized. The record is from RefSeq and is a predicted model, not a curated record. NCBI's taxonomy places the organism in Eukaryota, Metazoa, Arthropoda, Insecta, Hemiptera, Cicadellidae. The transcript has 3 exons.